This is a long non-coding RNA of Ochotona princeps (American pika), 522 nucleotides long. RefSeq lists it as uncharacterized. The transcript is spliced from 2 exons. NCBI's taxonomy places the organism in Eukaryota, Metazoa, Chordata, Mammalia, Lagomorpha, Ochotonidae. The record is from RefSeq and is a predicted model, not a curated record.
CCUCACUCUUCCCCCUAGCUCUCAUCUAUGAUGCACUUUUUAGCUUUAUUCAAGACAAUUCACUUUAUUCAAAGUUGGCCAAAUGAAUAAAUCUUCAAAGGGAAAGCUUUGAAAGCUUGGUAGCAACAUGAAGCAUCACAAAUGUUGUCUUACUUAGGGAAAUGCAAAUAUCCGCAAAAUCAGAGAAAGCGCGGAGAUGCAGAUCUUCUAUCCGGGUCCAGUGGACCAGAGGCUCAGAUUCCAUUUCUCUCACCCCAUGUGUGUGAUCAUCUGCAGGCUCUGCAAUCUUUCUGUGACAACCCACGCAAUGGGAAAUGGCCACAGUAAGGCCAGGUCCUCUGAAAAACUCUGGAACAUGUCUAUAACAUGACCUUUGCCAUGACCUUGGAUUCUUGGAAAGUUCCAAAAGAGGAGAGAGAGGGCUUCUGUCAUUCUAGAAUGAGAUCUUUCCUUUUACAGCUCCAGCAAUAAGCAGUGAGCUGAUUGACCCAAAUGGUUUUCUUUAAACAAAUUCGAAGGAUC